UAGAUACCCUGGUAGUCCACGCUGUAAACGAUGGGCACUAGGUGUGGGGGGUGUCGACUCCCUCCGUGCCGAAGCUAACGCAUUAAGUGCCCCGCCUGGGGAGUACGGCCGCAAGGCUAAAACUCAAAGGAAUUGACGGGGGCCCGCACAAGCAGCGGAGCAUGUGGUUUAAUUCGACGCAACGCGAAGAACCUUACCUGGGCUUGACAUGUUCCUGACCACCCUGGAAACAGGGUUUCCCUUCGGGGCA
RNAcentral lists this ribosomal RNA (250 nucleotides) under uncultured bacterium. RNAcentral's name for it is "partial 16S ribosomal RNA". It matches the Rfam family "Bacterial small subunit ribosomal RNA", at positions 779 to 1028 of the family's 1533-position model. The record is from RNAcentral.